Long non-coding RNA from Mugil cephalus (flathead mullet), 2624 nucleotides. RefSeq lists it as uncharacterized. The record is from RefSeq and is a predicted model, not a curated record. NCBI's taxonomy places the organism in Eukaryota, Metazoa, Chordata, Actinopteri, Mugiliformes, Mugilidae. The transcript is spliced from 8 exons.
UGAGAUUUCUGCUCCAUUGCAGAAACCAAAUGUGAGAAGCCAGGAGAUCCGGAGGGCUGUGGAAACAGAGCAGCGUUACAGGAUGAGGACGCUUGGAUGCUCUUCUUCUGAGGAAUUGACUGACGAGAGGACUGCCCAGUCACAGAAGAGAGAAUGGGAAGAAGAGUCAGUGUUUCUCCUGAGAUUCCCGGUAACACUGAGGGGUCAGCCUCCAUCCAAGAAGCAGAGAGUCAGCGCUGGGUUCCAUGACGGCAGAGCGUUGUUCGACAAGUGGAGGCGUAUGCAGCUUGGCCCCCAGAAGGAACAUCUCUUGUCCACAUGUUGAAGACCAACACAGACGACUCAAACGCUGGCAAGACACAUCAAGAUGGAGGAAAAAGUUCAUGGAGCCGUAGUUCAUUUGUGGCCUCUCUGACUAUUGGAGUGAUCUUUGUUGUUUGAUCGCUCCUGUGGAGGAAAACAUCUUAGAUCUGGAAACGGGUAUCCUUCCAAGACUCCGCAACAAAGGCUGAAAGGACGAAGCAAGAACAAGGAAAGCCCAGGGGGAGAUGUGGAGGGCGACGCAGAGCCUCAGCUGCAGAAUAAAAUGAAAGCGCAGUUCUUUGUCAUGGAUGUGGCUUGCAAAUAUUGGCCCUACCUCAACAAAGCUACCAGUGUCCUUCCGGCCCUCCAGGAGCUGACAAAAAUGAAACCUUUCCUCAGUAGACACCAAAUGCACCUCAUACCUCUGAAGGCACCACACAGGAGGAUAUACAGCCAGUCCAGUCCAUUGUGGGUCUCUACCUCAGUGUCAGGCAACAGAAGCAAACCCUCUACUGUCAGAAUGACAGCAGCAAGCUUUGCCACCGCCCUGCAGGAAGCUGGGAGAGGACAAAAAAACGCUUCUUCAGGAGAUGCAGAGAUACAAUAGUCUAGUACCAGACUCUGCAAAAGUUGAUGUGGCUCUUGUGGAGCAGACAUUAACUGGAGAGAGCGCUGUGUCCCCUCUGUGGCCGUGGGAGGUUCACGGCAGUGACAUCGCCAUCAAGAAGAGACUGUAUGAUGUUAAGAAGACAAUAUUCAGAGGUGUCAGAGCAGAUGCACGUGGUCCUCCAGCAGUACAAGACUGCUUUAGGUCCCGAGGCCUCUGUCCUUCUACAAAUGGAGGAGGAUCAAAGUGCUCUCAGCAGUCCAGACAGCAGUGAAGACGAAGAGGAUGUCACAGAUUCGGUAAUUUCCUGAGGGCUUAUUGAUUACCGUACGCCUGAUAAUUCCAGACUUCUAGAUGAUGGUGAUGAUUGCUACACUAAUUCAUUUUUUCCCAUUUCCAUAAUAUGGCCUUUCAGAACCACUUUAACCCCUCCCUCAGUCUUAAAGGAUGAUCCAAGAUGAUCUUUGAUGAUCAAGAAUAUAAGGGAUAACUGUAUCAGGAUUACACCUUUCCAAUGGCAUGACAACCGUCAAAUCGGGUUGAAAGAGAAACAAUGUCUCACAUAGGCAGGCUGUGGCAAAAGGAAGUAUGGCCCGUUUCCUCUCUUACCCACUGGCUCAGGGUCAGCAUGAAGGCAGGGAAGGUCACACACUUUUCUUACUCUGUUCUAUGUUGAGAUUAGCACUCUGCCAAAGAACUUGUUGUAACAGGUGUCUGGAGAAUAUCCCAAAGAUCGACAUUAAUCUUAUAUGAGUGAAAGGCAUCAGUGUCAUUCCUAUGAAUCAGUAAUUAUCUGUGGUUUCAGGAACUGAGUUUUGUUGGUGCAUUGGGAGACGUUUGAUAUUUAAACCUUAAUUUGACAUUUGACAUCUUCAUUAUAAAAUAUAUUUUAACCUGUGAUUCAAAAUCACUCUACAGACACAAAAGGGCGUUUCUAAUUAUUUUCUAAUUAUUAUUAAUGCGUGGAAUAUUAAUAAUAUUAAUUUGGUCAGUACACAAUUGCAAUUAAUGCACCACAGUUAGCUAAUGUACAUGUCUGUCUACCCCGUCUAACCUCUCUCUCUCUCGCUCUACUGACUUAAUGGGGAAAGUCUAAAGGUGAGCAGCAUAGGUUGACUAUGACCUGCCACAACUAACUACACUCAGUUGUUGCUACUUUAUGUGCGGUGACACACAGUAUAUGUAUUAUAAGUUAACAGUUACUCCUGUCCUGGAAGUGGGACUCCGGUUAGCUGUGAGAGAGGAGGAUGCUAAGGAAAAGUCAGCACCCACCUCCCUGCACACCACAUUCUCAUUAUUCCUAUUGUAUAAUAUAUGAAGUAAAUUAACCUUUAGUUUAUUCUUUUUACCUUUAUGGAAUUUACCAGUAUUGUUAUUCAUAUACUGAAUCAUUUGUGAUCACUCCAUUCACACAAUAUUUUGUACUUUUUUCUCACAUUUUUCUUUCUUUUUUCUUUUCUUUUUUUUUUACAGUUUUCCAUUUUUUUUUACAGUUAUUGUCGACCACUGUGACUUUGGAACAAUAAUAACAAUCUGGCAUGAGAAUAUCCUUUGGUAUACAAGAAGAACUUGCUUGUCUUAUUUUGUUUUUAAUCAGGUCUAAGAAUUUAAACUAUUUCACAUUAACAUGUGUACUUAACUUUAGACUUUAUGCCUCCAAGUUGGCAGCAGAAUAGGUUUGUGAAACUUAAAAUAAAAUACUGAAAUGAAUGGA